RNAcentral lists this unclassified non-coding RNA (1092 nucleotides) under Hevea brasiliensis (rubber tree). Lineage: Eukaryota; Viridiplantae; Streptophyta; Magnoliopsida; Malpighiales; Euphorbiaceae. The record is from RNAcentral.
UUGUUAUCAUCAUUGCAACAUGUGAGUCAUAUAUCAGUGUCUUCUGAAAUUUGUUUCCUUUACUGAUUUUUGGAAUGUUAGUGUGCGAGAAAACAUGUCAGUUAGCUAUUUUCCACAAUGAAGUGAGGUCUUGUUUUAAAGCAUAUGAAGCUUUGCUAACAUGACUAAUUCUGCUUCUCUUCUUGGUGAAUAAUUGGUCUCGUAUGCUGUGGAUGGAGUCUAAUGACAGUGCUAAAGUCCUAUGAAAACUUUGUUAUUCUCGAACGGGUUUGAAGAAGACAUAGGAUUCAUCAUGCCAUUAAAUUAUGAGUGCUCUCCAAACUUUCCUUUUAGUAGUUUGGGUAAUAAUGUUAUUUUGAAGAACUAAUUUGUCUUGGCCUCCUAUUGAAAAGUGGUGUUAGCUUGACCCUUUAGUUGGGUAAGAUGGUUGUAUUUGUCUGCUUCUGUGUCUGUGCCUGAGAUAAAAAAUAAUAUAUUCAAAUGCAAUUGAUGGUUAGCACUCAGUAAAUAAGUGUGCUUGGGUUUAAUAUACGUUAACUGAUUCAGGCUGAAAGCGUCUUAAGGUUCAAUGCAUGACAUGUGCUUUUACAAAUUUUACUUGCAUAAAUGAUACAGAACCUAAUAAAUUUUGGGCAUUGUGAUAUUUGCAAUCCACAGAUACUGAGAAGAAUUUUGCUUUUCUUUCUACUAAUCCUAUUUUUACAAAGUUCUUUAUGUCUUCAUCACUCUUCGUGACUGAGAUCACUUUUCCCUAGAAUAAUCCAAAUGAGUGUAUUCUGAGUCUUGUGAGCAAUGAAUGUACCCUUUACUGAAAAAAUUAGGUGUAUGUACACGCGCUCUUUUGUGUCUGUAGAGAGAGAGAAUGUGUCCUUGCUACAAACAUUAUUUCUAUAUAUAGUGGGAUUUUCUAAUGCUCCACCCUAAGUUCUUCAUUAAAUUCAAUCAGUUGAAAUAUGUUGAAUUAUUUGCAGUUUGUGUUAAAAUGAAGUGUCUUCUUAGUUUUGAAACUGGUCUUGAACAUUGAAGAAUUUAAGCUUCUUUAAUUGCAUAAUUUUUGAUACUGUUUAUACCAACGGAUAUUUUUUAAUUGAG